Molecule: long non-coding RNA, 3502 nt
Filed under: Coffea arabica (coffee)
Lineage: Eukaryota; Viridiplantae; Streptophyta; Magnoliopsida; Gentianales; Rubiaceae
Description: long non-coding RNA (CARA_LNC006898)
Source: RNAcentral
UCCGAUAAAAGAAACAAAAUACAUGUUCUAAACAUCUAUUCUUAAUAUUACACCAACUCAAAACAAAAGAUUCAACCGUCUCAAAAUACAAAGGGAACCAUGACUGCAAUAUAUACCCACAAUGAUGGAUCUUCCCAAAAUAACUUUCUAAUUCAAUUCAAUCACUCUUCAACCUCCAACUCCUGUAAGGAAAACAAAGCUAAAGGGUUGAGCUAAAACUCAAUGAGGUUUGUCGAGCAAGUAACAUUUAAUAAACACUUAAAUCAGUACAACUAAGCAAGUAGUGCACAUUUCACUGUACAAUCACUUUCAUUAAGCAAUUGAGAAAACACUUCACUGAACAAUCACUUUUAAAAGGAUACGGUGCUCGCAUUAGAGCCACUUCAAUGUCAUUGAGCAUUCAUUUAGUGUCAAAAGACACUCAUUUCACUGUCAUUGUACAUUCAUUUCAAUAUCAUUGCAUUCACUCGACCAAUUCACCUUCUUAUAUCCUCAAAAACAAUAAAUAAUCCCCUACAUUCAAUAAUCAGUUCAAUAAUCUCCCAACCUCACGAUAAUACUCGAGUAUACCGAAACAUUUACCCAAAGCUACCGUCCUACCUGACCAAACCCUUUGUUGGCUCGAAUAGUCCGUUGAACAGAGGGUUUUGGGACCCAGUUCAGCCAAUGCGGCGAGGCACACAUACAGCUUACAUUCAUGCACACUUAUAGUAACAUUCAGUCAAUUAUCGACCUUCAAGCUCAACUAAGUCGAGUGCGAUAAAGUACACCAUCGACUUUAGAAGGCGAGGGACAAUUGAGAUACACUUUGAAAUGAAUCACUUAGCAAUAUUUCAUAAUAAGUGCAUUUGUCACAUAAUUUCACUUAAUUACACAUAAAUUCGGAAACACUCACUCCAGUCAAAAGUUACACUUCGGUCUCGGGAUUGCUUUCUUGCACCCCAUUGUCUCCUGAGACUAGGUUAUAACUCUAAAGUGAAUAUACAAUUCGUAUAUGGUCACUUAUUAUUUGUUACCUCAUGAUUUAAACUAUUAAAGUCAAGUUUUGGCUUUAAAAUACAAGAUAUAACAUCUAUCUUACAUUUUAUCUCUGCUUAUCAACUUUAUCUUUUUAAUCUAAAGAAAUAUACAUAUAUUCCAAGUUUAAAGUCUUGUAAGAGGUUUAAAACGAUUCUCUAUUCAAUAUUCAAGAAUUAAAGCAAGUGAACUUUUCAUUUGUUCCAUUUAAGCUAAACCAGAUUCUAAGUUGUUUGUAGUUUAGGGUUUCUUCAAAUUUUCUAGCCUUUCAAGUUUUAGGUUCAUUAAAAUGUUCAUAAAAGCAUAUUCAAGAUGUUAUAAGGUGCUCCAUAUAGAAUCUCAACCAAUUGACCUAAGUUUUUCGAAAAUCUUUUAAGAAUUUCACUUCCUCUAACACUCGGUCAGCAAGGCAAGAAUUCCAGCUCAACAUUUCAAAAUAUUUAACAAAAUUCUACCUUUUUCUUGCUUAAAACAAUAAUUACUGAGUAUACAUUCUGUCCAGCAUAAAUCAAGGCAAAUACCACAGAGUUUCAACAAGUUAUUCGAUCGAAAGUCACACACAAAAUCUGUCAUCAGCAAUUGCAUUAGUCAUUAACUCUUUUCUAGCAAUAUAGCAGCUUGGUUUACAGCUUUUUCCUCCCUAAUUUCUUCGGUUUCAACUCCAGUUCAUCAUGCAAGAGGUAGUUUUCAAGUUACCGAGUAGCCUUAACCAGCACACAUAAAAGUUCACAGUUAAGAUUUCGAAGGAAGGCUGAUCAGAAACUUAUUUCUCUCUUUCGACCAUGAUGGACAAAUCUUUGGGCAGCAGAUUGAGCUCAUUCUUUCUUCCAUGUUCACUUUAGUUUCAAUUCAUUUCUGUCUUACUUGUUGAAGUUAAGAGACUUAAGACAUGUUACAGCUUACUCCACUAGUUUAGGAGCUACGGUUUGCAAGGAACAUCCAGGAUUUCUUAUCUUUUCUUUCUCGGUCGAAGCCAACAGGUUCCAGCAGGUUUAUUUGACAUUUCCAGGCAAGAUUACCAAUGUUUUUACUAGCUUUGCAAAUAAAUAUCCUAUAAGAUCAGAGAUAAACAUAUUCCAUGCAAUCCUAGCAUAAUUCUCCAUAGAAAAUUCAGAUAACCAGCUGUAACUCAAGCAAACAACUCUCGGUUAUCACAGUUUUCCCUUCCCUUCAACUUUUAACCAUUUUAAAUUUCAGUUCCAGCCACAAGUCACACACCCACAGGCUCCUAACACACAAAUAAGUAUAAAACCAGCAUUUUCCAGCAAACUAUAUACCAAAAUAUCCACUCAACUCCAAGAAAUUCCAUCGGUUAAGCUGGAAAAUGUUAUAACAGUCAUGCGAUAUCCUACUCCAAACUCCAGCCAUUAAAAUUAGAUUUUUCACCAUGAAUUUCACAUGCAACUCCAGAUAAUGAAUAUACUAAUAUAUUUCAUGAGUUCAAGUAUAUUUACUCUUGAUCAAGCACGAAAAUUGAAAGGAAACUGCCUUUACAUUACAUCGGUCCAAGCUGGUAAAUUUCUAGCAAGAAAACAAGUUCUACUACCUGGUUUUACUUCAAUCCAACCUCAAAUAUUACAUGCAUCAGAAUUCCUCUAAAAUAUAUAUAUAUAUGGUGAUGGUUUCUAGCUAUAUUACCUGGUUUUUCUACCCAAACUCAAGCUGGAAAUCAGUUCACCCUUCUACCUUCUCCUCGGCUGGAAAUGGAACAAGAAUUUCUGGUUCCUUUUGGCUGCAAAUGGAGUGGGAACUCUGGUUUUCUCUCUUGGCUGAAGUAGAAACAAGAGCUUUGUUUUCUCUCUUUCUCAAGUCUUUCUCUCGGUUGGAAGAUGAAGCAAGGCAGGAAGAGAAAUUUUCUCAACUCCCUCAGCUCUCUCUUGUGUUUUGAAGGGAAGGAAGUCAAAUGCUAAGUCUCUCUUCUCCUCUCGGAUGAAGCUGGAAAAAUUCCAGCAAGUUUCUUCCAACGGUUCCAACCUAAAUCUCUAUCUUUUCACAAGUUUCUACAGCUAAAGCUCUUAUAAAACUUAAGGUAAAUGUAUAACAUGCAUUUCCUAUCAUUAUUCUCCAAAGAAACAUUGAUAACAAACUGUAAUUUCCAGUUUUCAUUCCCCAUUUCAGCAGUUUUCUUUCCAGCUGCAAUUCGGUUCUAUUGCCGACUGCUCUAGCUUCAGCUUCGGUUCCUCAAGGUUUGCACGAAACUCUCUCUUUCUUUCUUCCCUGCUUCACUCUCACACUCGGUUGAGGCUGAUAAGGAAGAAUGGAACCAGAGAUGCUCUCACUCUCACUUUUUUCUCGACUUUUUGGUAUGAAAAGGAAGAAAGCAUCGGUUCCUUAUCAAUCACUCUGUUUUCCUUUUCUUUUGGUUUCCUCUCGGUUUUAUUGAUUAAGAAUGACCAGACUAUUUCUUUUCGGUGGCUAGUGGCAGACAAGAACAAAUAAGGUGAGCUUCUCUCGGUUCCUCCGCCUAAACCAACUCCAAUUCACA